GCAAUGGUGGCUCAGUGGUAGAGUUCCCAUCUUUCAUGUGGGGGACCCAGGUUCGAGUCUGGCCGGUGCA
This 70-nucleotide transfer RNA is filed under the name Loxodonta africana (African savanna elephant). It matches the Rfam family "tRNA". Rfam says of the family: Transfer RNA (tRNA) molecules are approximately 80 nucleotides in length. Their secondary structure includes four short double-helical elements and three loops (D, anti-codon, and T loops). The record is from Rfam by way of RNAcentral. Lineage: Eukaryota; Metazoa; Chordata; Mammalia; Proboscidea; Elephantidae.